RNAcentral lists this ribosomal RNA (429 nucleotides) under Chloroflexota bacterium. RNAcentral's name for it is "Chloroflexi bacterium partial 16S ribosomal RNA". It matches the Rfam family "Bacterial small subunit ribosomal RNA", at positions 355 to 776 of the family's 1533-position model. Lineage: Bacteria; Bacillati; Chloroflexota. The record is from RNAcentral.
UGGGGAAUAUUGCACAAUGGGCGCAAGCCUGAUGCAGCCAUGCCGCGUGUGUGAAGAAGGCCUUCGGGUUGUAAAGCACUUUCAGCGGGGAGGAAGGCGAUAAGGUUAAUAACCUUGUCGAUUGACGUUACCCGCAGAAGAAGCACCGGCUAACUCCGUGCCAGCAGCUGCGGUAAUACGGAGGGUGCAAGCGUUAAUCGGAAUUACUGGGCGUAAAGCGCACGCAGGCGGUCUGUCAAGUCGGAUGUGAAAUCCCCGGGGUCAACCUGGGAACUGCAUUCGAAACUGGCAGGCUAGAGUCUUGUAGAGGGGGGUAGAAUUCCAGGUGUAGCGGUGAAAUGCGUAGAGAUCUGGAGGAAUACCGGUGGCGAAGGCGGCCCCCUGGACAAAGACUGACGCUCAGGUGCGAAAGCGUGGGGAGCAAACAGG